Salvia splendens (bonfire salvia) is the source of this 936-nucleotide long non-coding RNA. RefSeq lists it as uncharacterized. NCBI's taxonomy places the organism in Eukaryota, Viridiplantae, Streptophyta, Magnoliopsida, Lamiales, Lamiaceae. The record is from RefSeq and is a predicted model, not a curated record. The transcript has 2 exons.
AAUUAACCCAUAUUUUCUAUAUUAUAAAAAAUUAUUUUUUGUGAGCAGUAUUUAUUUGUGGAGGGUCCACCAUCUUCUUAUAAGCCCACGUCGCUGCUUCAAAGCUAGAUAACAACAUACUAUUCCAUUUCUCUGUCCCCUUUCUUCGCCCAAUUCGAGAAAAAGAGAAGACAAGACGAAGACGAUCGAUGGUGUUGCACUUGUUCUUCACGGUGGCAUUCUCGGCGGCGCCGCUCACGCUCUACAUCCCGCCGGUAAGGAGCUUGAAUCUGUUCAUCGAAACAAUUGAGGCUAUGUGGAAGGAAUCCAGCGCUCAAACUCUCAGGCUAUAUCCACGCCUGCGCUACGCCUUCUCUCGGUUGAUCAAUUCUAUGCUCUCCACCUAACUUCAUAUCGAUUCGGAUUAGCCAAACAGAAGCUGUUGAAAAGUGUUAAUUGUGCACUUGGUUAGGAUCUUACCGUUGUUCUAACAACAGCAAUGGCGCCCGUCUCGGCGGAAUUCUAACCGGCGUGCCGGAAGUCCGCGCAGGACGUCCGCCAUUGUGCAAGGGAGGCACAGAUUCCGUAUCCGCUGCGGACACCGGAGUUCCGCGGAUAUUCGUCGCGACGUCCGCCAUUGCGUUGACUCCCACGAACGUCCGCGCGGACGUCCCGAUUAUUGCAUUAAUUUUUUUAUUAUGGGAAGUCCGUCGGAUGUCCUUGGGGAUGUCCGUCACUGUACAAUGGGAUAUCCGUAUGACGUGGAAUCUGCAGUGGGAUGUCCGUAUGACGUGGCAAGGGGUGUUUUUGGGAUGUCCGCGGGGACGCUCGCCGGGACAUCCGCACCACUGCUAAUGCUCUUACUCAUCAGGAUUGAAUUUACCAAUUUUAUUCAUUGAAUUGUCAGUUUCGUUUACAUCGCCGUAAUUACAUAUUCCAUACAAAAUAUUUCACAUU